Molecule: long non-coding RNA, 663 nt
Organism: Penaeus monodon (black tiger shrimp)
Lineage: Eukaryota; Metazoa; Arthropoda; Malacostraca; Decapoda; Penaeidae
Exons: 3
Source: RefSeq, a predicted model, not a curated record
GGAGACGCGGGCACCACAGUCUCGAUCCAGUACUCGAGAAGGGAAGCUAUACAAUGAGCCGUCUCAUACUAACGCUUCUGCUACUGUCGCUGUUGCUGUUGCUUCUGACGGAGGUAACAGGACGACCGUCGCCCAUGACCACUGAAGCCCCCUACCCACCCCGCUGCGUAUGCCCGGACCCCCCUUGUGACUGCGACAUCAUCCAAUACACACCCGUUAAGAGAUAAUAGAGGGCGUGAACUAAGCCUUGUGUGUAUAUAUAUAACCCCCAAGACGUGUGUCAAGUGUCUCAGUAUUUAUCUCGAGGUGUUUAUGUGUGGACGUGUGGUUUUUCGUGUUCAUGUUUGUGUCUUUGUGGACUGAGAUUGCAAGGACCGCUACCUCAAGUGUCAUGUCGAAGUGGUGAGAUUCCUUCCAGAUGUGAGAUUCAGAUCCAAGCGUUUAUUUAGCCACAGAGCAUUUACAUAGUUGUUUUAAACUAGGGAGAUGCAUUGGACUGGCUGAGCCCCUGAGAGUUGAAUAGAUUCUCUCGAAAGAGGAGCUGUGAGCGAAAUGGCUAUAAACACUAGUUUGAAAAGGGAGGAAGGAAAGACAAAAAAGUGUGUACGGGAUUGUACGAAAGGUAAUUAUUGUGAUGUCGUCGAAUAAACGUGAUGGAGUGUG